UUUUCCUUUUCUGGAGGGAAAAUUCCGGCUCUGAGAGCCCCAACCCGCCCAGGGCAGCACAACCCUGCUCAUUUUCCUGCUCUAAGGCCCAGGGAGCCUUUGGGGGGGAUUUGUUGGGUUAAGACAAAGCAAAAAGGCGGCAAAAAGCGAAUUUCACACUGGGAUCGCUCCCACAAGGCACAGGCGGCACCCCUGGGGGGAUCCUGCAUUUCCCUGCUCCAAAACUGCUCAGGGGCACCCCAAAAACCCCAAAAAACCCCAAAACCAGACCUGGGGGAUGGGACAGCCCCAGAGAUGCCAGGGAGGGGGGAGGUGGAUCUGGAACUGCAUCCCAAAAAUCCCUCCUGGCUGCUGAAAUCCCAUGGGAGCAGCUGAAGGAUGGGAUUUGGUUUGGGAAGGAUGGAAUUGAUCCCUGGAUUCAAAUGGGAAAUGGAGCCUGGAAUUUGAAUUUCCACAUCCAGGAUCCCAAAAAUCCCUCCUGAUUAUCCAAGAGGUUAAAGCAUGGAAUUUGGUUUGGGAAGAGCAAAUCCCAAAUGGGAAAUGGAGUCUGGAACUCAAAUUUGCACAUCCAGGAUCCCAAAAAUCCCUCCUGAUCUCCCAAAACAGCAGUUAAAGGAUGGAAUUUAGUUUGGGAAGAGCCGUUCCCAAAUGGGAAAUGGACCCUGGAAUUUCAAUUUCCACCUCCAGGAUCCCAAAAAUCCCUCCUGACCAUCCAAGUAAGAGGUUAAAAGAUGGAAUUUGGUUUGGAAGAGCCGUUCCCAAACGAGAAAUGGAGUCUGUUAGUCAAAUUUGCACAUCCAGGAUCCCAAAAAUCCCUCCUGAUUUCCUAAAAGAGCAGUUAAAGAAUGGAAUUUGGUUUGGGAAGAGCAAUUCCCAUGGGAAAUGGGCCCUGGAAUUUGGAUUUGCUCACCCAGGAUCCCCAAUCCCCUCCUGGUCUCCCAGAGGAGCAUCCAAAGGAUGGGAUUUCCUUGGCAGAGCCGUUCCCAGCUGGAAUCAGGGCGGUUUCCGCCCUUCCCACUCAGCUCUGCCACGGGAAAACCAAACCCAGGGAUGAGGAGGAGGAGGAGCUUCUCCAGGGGGGUUUGCCCAUCCCAGGUGGGAUUUUGGUCCCUCCAAAUGGGAUUUUCCCAUUCCAAAUGGGAUUUUCCCAUUCCAAAUGGGAUUUUCCCCCUUCAGGUUGGGUUUUCCCAUUCCAGGUUGGGAUUUUUCCCAUUCCAGGUAGGAUUUUCCCAUUCCAGGUGGGAUUUUUCUCCCAUUCCAGGUGGGGAUUUUCCCAUUCCAGGUGGGAUUUUUGUCCCUCUGGGUUGGGUUCUCCCAUUCCAGGUAAGGUUUUUUCCCAUUCCAGGUCAGGUUUUUUCCCAUUCCAGGUCAGGUUUUUUCCCAUUCCAGGUGGGACUUUUCCCAUUCCAGGUUGGAUUUUCCCCCUCCAAGGGGAUUUACCCCCUGGGUUCUCCCAUUUCAGAUCAGGUUUUUUCCCAUUCCAGGUGGGAUUUUCCCCACUCCAGGUCAGGUUUUUCCCAUUCCAGUUGGGAUUUUUGUCCCUCCAGAUUGGGUUCUCCCAUUCCAGGUCAGGUUUUUUCCCAUUCCAGUUUGGAUUUUCCCCCUCCAGGUUGGGAUUCUUCCCAUUCCAAAUGGGAUUUUUCCCCUUCAGGUUGGGUUCUCCCAUUCCAGGUCAGGUUUUUCCCCAUUCCAGAUCAGUUUUUUCCCAUUCCAGGUUGGGUUUUCCCAUUACAGGCCAGGUUUUUCCCAUUCCAGGUGGGAUUUUCCCCCUUCAGGUUGGAUUUUCCCCCUCCAAGGGGAUUUACCCCCUGAGUUCUCCCAUUCCAGAUCAGUUUUUUCCCAUUCCAGUUGGGAUUUUGGUCCCUCCAGGUUGGGUUUUCCCAUUCCAGAUCAGGUUUUUUCCCAUUCCAGGUGGGAUUUUCCCCCUCCAGGCCAGGGAUGAGCAGCAGGCAGGCCCGGGAGGUGUCUCUGAGCUGCACCUUUGGGGUUUUGCCGGGAUUGGGGCAGGUUUGGAGCUGCCAGGGGCUCUGCAAACGGCGGCUCCAGGGCUGGGAGCAGCUCCAGGGANACAGGGGGACACUGAGUGACCAAGAGUCCCCAGAAGCCCCGGGGGCACUCAGUGACAGGGACACACACACUCAGUGACCAGGAAUGCCCAGAAUCAGUGACAGGGGGACACUGAGUGACCAGGGAUCCCUUGGGGACAUUGAGUGACCAGGGAUCCUGGGGGAGCACCACAGGAAUCCCUGGGAAACACCAUGGGAAUCCCCAGGGACACCCAGAGACCAGGGAUCCCUGGGGACACUCAGUGACAGGGACACACUCAGUGACCAGGAAUCCCCAGAACCCCUGAAGCACUCAGUGAUGGGGACACACUCAGUGACCAGCAAUCCCCAGGGACACCCAGUGACAGGGGGACACACACUCAGUGACCAGGGAUCCCUGGGGACAUUGAGUGACCAAGAAUCCUGGGGGAGCACCACAGGAAUUCCUGGGAAACACCAUGGGAACCCCCAGGGACACCCAGAGACCAGGGAUCCCUGGGGACACUCAGUGACAGGGACACAAUGACCAGGAAUCCCUGGGACACCCAGUGACAGGGACACACAAACUCCAUGACCAGGAAUCCCUGGGGACAUUCAGUGACCGGGACACACUCAAUGACCAGGAACUCCAGGGACACCUCGUGACAGGGACACACUCAGUGACCAGGAAUCCCUGGGGUCACUCAGUGACAGGGACACACUCAAUGGACCAGGAAUCCCUGGGGACACCCAGUGACAGGGGGACACACACUCAAUGACCAGGAAUCCCUGGGGUCCCUCAGUGACCAGGAAUCCUUGGGGACACCCAGUGAUAGGGGGACACACUCAGUGACCAGGAACUCCAGGGACACCCAGUGACAGGGACACACACAAUGACCAGGAAUCCUUAGGGACACCCAGUGACAGGGACACACACAAUGACCAGGAAUCCCUGAGGUCACUCAGUGACAGGGACACAAUGACCAGGAACUCCAGGGACACCCAGUGUCAGGGACACCCACACUCCAUGACCAGCAAUCCCCAGAACCCCAGGAAUC
RNAcentral lists this long non-coding RNA (3082 nucleotides) under Zonotrichia albicollis (white-throated sparrow). RNAcentral's name for it is "lncRNA (ENSZALG00000000543.1)". The record is from RNAcentral. Lineage: Eukaryota; Metazoa; Chordata; Aves; Passeriformes; Passerellidae.